GAAACUCAAUGUCCCAAGUGCCAGUCCUUUGACAAUUGGAAUAUGGGAGCUUGAAUUAAGUAAUGAAGACAAAUGGAAUAUAAAUGAGCUUAGACUUCUUAGGAACCUAACUUCCAGAAAGGGUGACUUAUGAUUCUAAAUAUGAAAGUACAUUUCUAGUGUAUUUCCACAACAGUACUUAGAAGACCUGGGAUGUAAACAAAAAGUAAAGUAGAAGUCACUGGCACAGAUCUGAAACCAAGUUUUAUUAAGGGUCAGAGACUCCACCGGUUUCAAAGUGAGAUCAGCAUGCAGAUGAAAUUUUUAGACCAUAUUGAAAAAUGAAAAAUUGGACUCCUCAUCACUUUUUCCCAAGAGAGGAAAGCUGCCGUCAGCAGAGCCAAGGAAAGAAAACAGCAGUGAAAUAAUAUAGAAACCCAGGGAACAGCAGGUAGAAGAAUUAGUCAUGGUUGCUUUGGAGUAUAAAAUUUUACCUCCAAUAUAACGCCAAAAAUACUAAAUGAUUUAACACAACAACUUAUUCUAGCUCUACAAAAUAUGGGUUACUAGGUUUUCUUCCUUUUAUGCCCCUGUGUUUUCUUGAUGUCUUUUACCUGGUUCCAGUUUCCUUAGCUUUUGGUAGGAGAUAGCAUUUUCAGAGCACUGUGCCAAGACUUACCCACAUGAGUCCUAUCGACCUUGAUCAAGGUCACAAGGCAAAAUCCCUAGUCCUUACUUUGAAAAUUAACUUGAUAUUUCCAGAUAUAUAUUCAUCUGGUUUUUCUAUUCCACAUAUGAGAAUUAUUUCUCUGAAAGGUUUGAUUUAUUUCUAUUAAUUAUUAUUCAAAAAUAUACCCUGUGAAACAAUUGUAACUAAAUACCAAACAAAUGAAAACAGAUGGUAGUGUAAUCUAGACAAAGAAUUUGGCCCAGAGGGUUAAAAAAAAAAAGAAUAUAAUAGAGGAAGAAUUUUCUUUAAUUACCCUCAGAAAGUCAACGUGAAAAGUGAUUGAAAUAGGUUUUGCUGGUAUCUCUCCCAGUUUUAAACAUAUUUGUAUUUCUAAAGUAAAGCAUCUAUAAAGAUAAUCCAGAACUUAAGUAGUGAAAAUAACUGUUUUUCAUCACUCAAUUACAACAUUUAAGUCCAUAUUAACAAGCCAAACCGAAGAAAAGAUUUACCAAGUGAAUUGAGAAAAUAUGACAUCUGGAUGAUAAAAGUGAGUUUGAUAAAUUUAAAAAUAAUUUGAAUGACUAAUUAAAAGUUUCCCUUAUUCAUUAGGAAGCUUAUGACUGCUCCUGCUGUUUUUUUCUAGCAUUAUCUUUGCAGACUUUGUUCAUCCAAGAUCAAAACAAUGGGUCAAUUUCAUCAGCUCCUUUAAAUAAUGCAUCUAGAAAGUGAAAAAUAGUCUGUCUGAUGACAAGACCUUUCGCCAUGUUAGGAGGAGGUUUCUUUGUUCUCAUUAACAUCCACUAAAAAGGCCCUGGUGUGGAGGCCCACUCUGGAAAAGCUGGCCUCCAGUGCACAAGAUGAAGAGGUAAGGUCAGGUUCACCAGAUUUUAAUCACUCAGAAGUACAUCUGCCUGAAAAGCCUAGUCAAAGAUCCACAUGAGGCAAUGUACUUAACACCUUCCAAAUUCCCUUUUCAGCACAGAUUACCCACUAUACUUAUAGCACCAGAUGGAUUCUUGAAAAAGUGUUGCAAUGUAAUCAGGCAUCAAAGUUAAAAUAAAUUUUAUAAACAGUACUAAGGCUAACUACAUUUCCAAACCACUUUGGCACAUUUCUUUGGUCUCCUCCAUUCAUUUUGCCAGCAGUCGUUGAUUUAAAAGGUUACGUGAAUGUGUAUAUUUUUUUCUAACGUAACAUUUACAAAGAAAGCACUUAUGUAAAUAAACCUUUGGAAAACGAGGUUGCUAUGAUUAAAGCACAAAUGUGGGCAUAUGCCAUGGAAAGUACUGUUCUUUUCUUUAAUACUAUGUUAACAAAAAGUUAUUUAAAUAAAUU
RNAcentral lists this long non-coding RNA (1984 nucleotides) under Homo sapiens (human). Its description in RNAcentral is "HSALNT0009287". The record is from RNAcentral. Lineage: Eukaryota; Metazoa; Chordata; Mammalia; Primates; Hominidae.